RNAcentral lists this microRNA precursor (52 nucleotides) under Ciona intestinalis (vase tunicate). Its description in RNAcentral is "microRNA cin-mir-4157 precursor". Lineage: Eukaryota; Metazoa; Chordata; Ascidiacea; Phlebobranchia; Cionidae. The record is from miRBase by way of RNAcentral.
UGGUAAGAUGCGAGUAUGGUGCUUCAUAAAUCAAGCACUUCCCGCCUUACCG